RNAcentral lists this ribosomal RNA (490 nucleotides) under uncultured bacterium. RNAcentral describes it as "partial 16S ribosomal RNA". It matches the Rfam family "Bacterial small subunit ribosomal RNA", at positions 28 to 507 of the family's 1533-position model. The record is from RNAcentral.
GAUGAACGCUAGCUACAGGCUUAACACAUGCAAGUCGCGGGGCAGCAUGGGGGUUGCUUGCAAUCCCCGAUGGCGACCGGCGCACGGGUGAGUAACGCGUAUCCAACCUGCCCUUCACCACGGGAUAACCCGGCGAAAGUCGGACUAAUACCGUAUGUUGUCCAUUGACGGCAUCCGAUUUGGACGAAAGGUUUGGCGGUGAAGGAUGGGGAUGCGUCCGAUUAGCUGGACGGCGGGGUGACGGCCCACCGUGGCGACGAUCGGUAGGGGUUCUGAGAGGAAGGUCCCCCACACUGGAACUGAGACACGGUCCAGACUCCUACGGGAGGCAGCAGUGAGGAAUAUUGGUCAAUGGGCGUAAGCCUGAACCAGCCAAGUGGCGUGCAGGAUGACGGCCCUAUGGGUUGUAAACUGCUUUUAUGCGGGGAUAAAGUGGCCCACGUGUGGGUUUUUGCAGGUACCGCAUGAAUAAGGACCGGCUAAUUCCGUG